This 689-nucleotide ribosomal RNA is filed under the name uncultured fungus. RNAcentral describes it as "eukaryotic LSU rRNA". The stretch from base 287 to 440 matches the Rfam family "5.8S ribosomal RNA". Lineage: Eukaryota; Fungi. The record is from RNAcentral.
AAGUCGUAACAAGGUUUCCGUAGGUGAACUGCGGAAGGAUCAUUAUUGAAUAAGCUGGUUGGGUUGUUGCUGGCUCUCCGGGGCAUGUGCACAUCUGACACCAACUUUUUACCACCUGUGCACCUUCUGUAGACCUGGAUAAACUCUCGAGGAAACUCGGUUUGAGGACUGCUGUGCGUAAAAGUCAGCUUUCCUUGUAACUUCCGGUCUAUGUUUUUAUAUAUAUACCCCUACAGUAUGUCUAAGGAUGUUUGUUGCUGGGCUUCAAUGCCUUUAAACUUAAUACAACUUUCAACAACGGAUCUCUUGGCUCUCGCAUCGAUGAAGAACGCAGCGAAAUGCGAUAAGUAAUGUGAAUUGCAGAAUUCAGUGAAUCAUCGAAUCUUUGAACGCACCUUGCGCUCCUUGGUAUUCCGAGGAGCAUGCCUGUUUGAGUGUCAUGAAAUUCUCAACCUUUUCAGCUUUCUUUGUUGAUCAGGCGUGGAUGUGGGAGUAUGCGGGCUUCUCAGAAGUCGGCUCUCCUGAAAUGUAUUAGCAGGACCUUUGUUGCCUGGCUUUGGUGUGAUAAUUAUCUACGCCAUUGUGCUCAAGCAGCUUAUAAUGGGGUUUCAGCUUCUAAUUGUCUCUCUUGAGACAACUUCUUUUGACAAUUUGACCUCAAAUCAGGUAGGACUACCCGCUGAACUUAA